This 301-nucleotide ribosomal RNA is filed under the name uncultured bacterium. RNAcentral describes it as "partial 16S ribosomal RNA". It matches the Rfam family "Bacterial small subunit ribosomal RNA", at positions 509 to 807 of the family's 1533-position model. The record is from RNAcentral.
CAGUAGCCACGGGAAUACGAAGGGGGCUAGCGUUGUUCGGAUUUACUGGGCGUAAAGCGCACGUAGGCGGAUCGAUCAGUCAGGGGUGAAAUCCCAGAGCUCAACUCUGGAACUGCCUUUGAUACUGUCGAUCUGGAGUAUGGAAGAGGUGAGUGGAAUUCCGAGUGUAGAGGUGAAAUUCGUAGAUAUUCGGUGGAACACCAGUGGCGAAGGCGGCUCACUGGUCCAUUACUGACGCUGAGGUGCGAAAGCGUGGGGAGCAAACAGGAUUAGAUACCCCCGUAGUCCCUGUCUCUUAUAC